GUCGUUUGUUUAUGUUAUUUAUACGUGUUUCUCGUUUCUCGUUUUUUUUUUUAUAUAGAUUAGACCGUUGGUUUUCCCGUUUGAAUGGUUUUACACGUCUAGUAAUUUUUUGGCCCUUUAUAGCUUGUUGUUUGGUGUGAGCCAAGGCUGUGUGUUGAAGGCCAUUCAUUGACCUUUAAUGGUUUACUUUUAUAAAUUGUUAUUUGGAUGGAGAGUUGUCUCAU
This 224-nucleotide long non-coding RNA is filed under the name Mytilus galloprovincialis (Mediterranean mussel). Lineage: Eukaryota; Metazoa; Mollusca; Bivalvia; Mytilida; Mytilidae. The record is from RNAcentral.